Non-coding RNA from Schistosoma margrebowiei, 45 nucleotides. NCBI's taxonomy places the organism in Eukaryota, Metazoa, Platyhelminthes, Trematoda, Strigeidida, Schistosomatidae. The record is from Rfam.
AUACAGCUGACGAGUCCUAAAUAGGGCGAAACGCACAUCCUGGAC